UACGUAGGGGGCAAGCGUUGUUCGGAAUUACUGGGCGUAAAGGGCGCGUAGGCGGCCCGGCAAGUCAGGAGUGAAAGGCCUGGGCUCAGCCGAGGAACUGCUUUUGAGACUGCCGAGCUAGAGUGCAGAAGGGGCAACUGGAAUUCCCAGUGUAGCGGUGAAAUGCGUAGAUAUUGGGAAGAACACCUGAGGCGAAGGCGGGUUGCUGGGCUGACACUGACGCUGAGGCGCGAAAGCCAGGGGAGCAAACGGG
This 253-nucleotide ribosomal RNA is filed under the name uncultured bacterium. RNAcentral describes it as "partial 16S ribosomal RNA". It matches the Rfam family "Bacterial small subunit ribosomal RNA", at positions 524 to 776 of the family's 1533-position model. The record is from RNAcentral.